AGUGAACGCUGGCGGUAGGCCUAACACAUGCAAGUCGAACGGCAGCACAGUAAGAGCUUGCUCUUACGGGUGGCGAGUGGCGGACGGGUGAGGAAUACAUCGGAAUCUACUUUUUCGUGGGGGAUAACGUAGGGAAACUUACGCUAAUACCGCAUACGACCUACGGGUGAAAGCAGGGGAUCUUCGGACCUUGCGCGAUUGAAUGAGCCGAUGUCGGAUUAGCUAGUUGGCGGGGUAAAGGCCCACCAAGGCGACGAUCCGUAGCUGGUCUGAGAGGAUGAUCAGCCACACUGGAACUGGGACACGGUCCAGACUCCUACGGGAGGCAGCAGUGGGGAAUAUUGGACAAUGGGCGCAAGCCUGAUCCAGCCAUACCGCGUGGGUGAGGAAGGCCUUCGGGUUGUAAAGCCCUUUUGUUGGGAAAGAAAAGCAGCAGGUUAAUACCCCGCUGUUCUGACGGUACCCAAAGAAUAAGCACCGGCUAACUUCGUG
This 492-nucleotide ribosomal RNA is filed under the name uncultured bacterium. Its description in RNAcentral is "partial 16S ribosomal RNA". It matches the Rfam family "Bacterial small subunit ribosomal RNA", at positions 29 to 507 of the family's 1533-position model. The record is from RNAcentral.